ACGGUACAACAUCAUCCCUCCAUCCAACCAUGAGAUUUUCUUCGAAGCAAUUCCUCUUUGCCUCCCUGGCACUGACAGCAACGACGACCACGACGAUGGUUCGAUC
RNAcentral lists this non-coding RNA (106 nucleotides) under Pseudo-nitzschia pungens. The record is from RNAcentral. Lineage: Eukaryota; Bacillariophyta; Bacillariophyceae; Bacillariales; Bacillariaceae.